This 253-nucleotide ribosomal RNA is filed under the name uncultured bacterium. Its description in RNAcentral is "partial 16S ribosomal RNA". It matches the Rfam family "Bacterial small subunit ribosomal RNA", at positions 524 to 776 of the family's 1533-position model. The record is from RNAcentral.
UACGUAGGGUGCAAGCGUUGUCCGGAAUUAUUGGGCGUAACGCGCGCGUAGGCGGUUACUUAAGUCGGAUGUGAAAGCCCUCGGCUUAACUGAGGAAGUGCACCCGAAACUGAGUAGCUAGAGUACGAAAGAGGGUCGCGGAAUUCCCGGUGUAGAGGUGAAAUUCGUAGAUAUCGGGAGGAACACCGGUGGCGAAGGCGGCGACCUGGGUCGAGACUGACGCUGAGGCGCGAAAGCGUGGGGAGCAAACAGG